This is a non-coding RNA of Podarcis lilfordi (Lilford's wall lizard), 110 nucleotides long. The record is from the annotation of a GenBank genome assembly. Lineage: Eukaryota; Metazoa; Chordata; Lepidosauria; Squamata; Lacertidae.
AGCUUUGAACAGUGGCAGUAUCGUAGCCAAUAAGGUUAAUCCGAGGCACAAUUAUUACUAAUUGCCAACUUUUCCCAAUACCCUGCCAUGACAACUUGGAAAAUAUAUAU